This 409-nucleotide long non-coding RNA is filed under the name Capsicum annuum. RNAcentral's name for it is "long non-coding RNA (CANN_LNC002699)". Lineage: Eukaryota; Viridiplantae; Streptophyta; Magnoliopsida; Solanales; Solanaceae. The record is from RNAcentral.
ACUUUAAUUAACUUUUCUCUCUAUUAUUGCUCCGUUGUUAUCUUCUUCUUAUCGUAUUUGCUGCUUUUCUAUCUUCUUUCCAGCAGACAUGCUUAUCUUCAUUCUAACUGUACGUCUGGUAUAACGUUAUCUUCUCCUUUAUAUCUAGAACAUUGAUGGUCUGGAUAUUUGUGUCCAAUUAUCUUACAAUAUCUUGUUAAUAAUCCGUCUGAAAUAAAUCCUUUCUUAAUUGCUCUUACAGUAUCAUUACCCAUUUUCUAACAUCUUCCAUAUUUGUUUGUCGUAGUUCUCUUGAAUUGAAUAAAUCAUUUUAUGGUCUCUUGAAUAAUAGCUUCAUAUUGGGUUUCCAUUGAUAUAAUUAUUUGUUAAUUCUUGAAUAAUUGUAGCUAGUCCAAUAAGUCAUUUAUUU